CGGAGGAAAAGAAACUAACAAGGAUUCCCCCAGUAGCGGCGAGCGAAGCGGGAAAAGCCCAAAAUGAAAAGCCAGUUUGCUGGCGUUGUAGUUGAGCGUUCUUGGGGUGUCAGUCUGGGUAAGUGGCAUGGAAAUGCGCGCCGUGGAGGGUGAGAGCCCCGUCCAUCCCAUUCAGGACACCCCGCACAAGAGCGUUUCAGACGAGUCGGGUAGCUUGGGAAUGCUGCUCUAAUUGGUGGUAAAUCUCAUCAAAGGCUAAAUAACGGUGGGAGACCGAUAGCGAACAAGUACCGUGAGGGAAAGAUGACAAGCACUUUGAAAAGAGGGUGAAAAGAGCCUGAAACCGUUACGGGGGAAGCGGAUUGCGUUGGCCUGGUGGCCGCCUGUGUGUUCAGCCGUUUCGGUGCAUUGAUGCAGGUGGUUAUCCGUCGUGGCUUUUCGGUGGCGGAUUUUGCGCUGCUGGAGGGUGAGGGCUCCCUUCGGGUGAGGACGACGGAGUGACGACGCGAUACGACCCGUCUUGAAACACGGACCAAGGAGUCUAGCACGGGUGCGAGUCGGAGGGUUUUAAACCCGUGGGCGAAGUGAAAGCGAGUUUUAAAAACGAGCAGUUUGGGGCGGCAUAGAAUCGUUGAUUCUAGGUCCGACCUUGAGCAGUUGUGCUGGGACCCGAAAGAUGGUGAACUAUGCCGGAGUAGGGCAAAGCCAGAAGAAAUUCUGGUGGAGGCUCGUAGCGGUGCUGACGUGCAAAUCGCUCGUCGAACUUGGGUAUAGGGGCGAAAGACUAAUCGAACCAUCUAGUAGCUGGUUCCCUCCGAAGUUUCUCUCAGGAUAGCGGGCCGACAAGUUGUUUUGUGCGGUAAAGCGAAUGAUUAGCGCAUUCGGGGGCGUUUAGCCUUUGGGCGAUUCUCAAACUUUCAAUGCGCAAGGGUACCGGUGCUUUGUUGAGCGGUGCCGAUAAAAACGUCGGCCUUGUGGGCCACUUUUGGUAAGCAGAACUGGCGAUACGGGAUGAACCGUAAGCAUGGUUAAGGUGCCAAACUGCCCGCUUAUAGAUCCCACAAAAGGUGUUGAUUCAUCGAGACAGCAGGACGGUGGCCAUGGAAGUCGGAAUCCGCCAAGGAGUGUGUAACAACUCACCUGCCGAAUGAAUUAGCCCUGAAAAUGGAUGGCGCUUAAGCGGGCGACCGACACCAUGCCGUCUGUAAAAUAAUUCAGAUGAGUAGGAGGGCGUGGCGGCCGUGUCGAAGCGCGCCUGCAGAGGCGCGUGGAACGGCCGCUAGUGCAGAUCUUGGUGGUAGUAGCAAAUAUUCAAGCGAGAUCCUUGAAGGGCGAAGCGGGGAAGGGUUCCACGCGAACAUUGAUUGGGCGUGGGUGAGUCGUUCCUAAGCCGAGUGGCGAUUGCUAAGUAGCGGCGAAAGGGAAGCGGGUUGACAUUCCCGCACACGGAUGUGGAGGCGGCGACGCUUUAUUGGGGCGAACACGCUGGCGGUGGCGCUGGGCAGAGUUGUCUUUUCUGUUUGACCGCUUAUGCGCGCGGUGUGGAAUCCGCUUGUCGGGAGAAACACGCGUGUACGGGCAGAGCGCCGGGGCUUUUCCGGCGUCCAGCUCGCCACCGACGGCCCUUGAAACUUUGCCUGCUGGUUUUUAAGAUCCACGCCGUGGCGUACCGAUCACCGCAUCAGGUCCCCGAGGUGAACAGCCUCUGCUCGAUAUGAAAAAUGCAGGUAAGGGAAGUCGGCAAAUUGGACCCGUAACUUUGGGAAAAGGGUUGGCUCUAGUGCUGCGUGGGAGUGGUUGUCGGGUGUUGGCGUGUUUGGACUUGCUGAGCGAGCGCGGGCCUUCGGGACUGUGUUUGUUCGGCGAGUCCGGAUGCGCCACGCUCGACGACGCCCACAGCAUGCAGCAGACUAGAACUGCAACCGGGCAAAGGGAAUCCGACUGUUUAAUUAAAACAAAGCAUUGCGAGGGCCGUGGCCGGUGAUGACGCAAU
Molecule: ribosomal RNA, 1993 nt
Filed under: Tsengia flammea
Lineage: Eukaryota; Rhodophyta; Florideophyceae; Halymeniales; Tsengiaceae
Description: partial 28S ribosomal RNA
Rfam family: Eukaryotic large subunit ribosomal RNA
Source: RNAcentral